AUGUCUGAAUGGAUCUUCAAAGUGCCCGCCAGGCACCACGAACGGCUUGGGCCGCCUCCCUGCCAAGCGUACGAUAUCCGGCCGUUUUGUGACCCAUCGUGGCCGACCUGUGAAAGAUCAAUCGUGCACGCGGGAAGUGACAACUGUUGUGAAAAACACAGCAGCCGGGACGUAAAAGAGCGAGAGAAGAUGGCGGAGGAAGCGAAGCAGGAUGUGGCGCCACCCGCGCCGGAGCCGACCGAGGACGUCGCGGACGAGAAGGCGGCGGUUCCGUCGCCGGAGGAGUCUAAGGCCCUCGUUGUCGCCGAGAAUGACGCUGAGAAGCCUGCAGCUACAGGGGGCUCACACGAACGAGAUGCUCUGCUCACGAGGGUCGCGACCGAGAAGAGGAUUUCGCUGAUCAAGGCAUGGGAGGAGAACGAGAAGGCCAAAGCCGAGAACAAGGCCGUGAAGUUGCUGGCGGACAUCACCUCGUGGGAGAACUCCAAGGCCGCGGAACUGGAAGCCGAGCUCAAGAAGAUGCAAGAGCAGCUGGAGAAGAAGAAGGCGCGCUGCGUGGAGAAGCUCAAGAACAGCGCCGCGACGGUGCACAAAGAGGCGGAGGAGAAGCGUGCCGCGGCGGAAGCGCGGCACGGCGAGGAGAUCGUCGCGGCGGAGGAGACCGCCGCCAAGUACCGCGCCAAGGGUGAGGCGCCGAAGAAGCUGCUCUUCGGCAGAGGAUAGAUAUCGCUUCAUCUUCAGCUUCUCUCUGUUUGACCGUUGCAAUGUCUCCUGCCCAUGGCAUCACUUGUGUAUUUAUCUUUGGGUGUGAUCUUAGUUUGUAUGGUAUCAUCAAUUGCGUCGUGAUGUAAUUUGUGAUUAUUUCGUGGGAUACUUGGGUGUACUGUAUAAAGAUGGAGUAGUCUUUUCGUGCACACAACACUAUAACAAUAUCUGAUACUGUUAAAGCAAAUAACCCGC
RNAcentral lists this ribosomal RNA (960 nucleotides) under Triticum aestivum (bread wheat). Its description in RNAcentral is "partial small subunit ribosomal RNA". The record is from RNAcentral. Lineage: Eukaryota; Viridiplantae; Streptophyta; Magnoliopsida; Poales; Poaceae.